UCACAUUUCACUCCUUAAAAUUAUGCUUUUAAAUUCAAAAUCACUCUCAAACCUCACCCAAAACCAUACUCAUCUCAUUCAUUGCAUAUUCAAAUGACACAUUCACCAUUCAACUCCUUCCCAUUCACUCAUAUCCUACUACUCAAAAAAUUUCAUAAAACACUCGUUCUUACCCAAAAUUGCACUCACCCUCACCCUCCCAAACCCUCAAAUUUGGGCUCGAUUUUCUCAAGCAUCACCAUCUCCUCAAGUUUUGAACCAACAAUUAUCAUAGCCACCUCGCAAGAAAAAGGAAAUUAUAACGUUAAGAUUCAUUCCAAACACUAAUCCUCUCAUCUAAAGGAAAAAAAAAGAAAAAAUCAUUAAAAACACUUUGUUCCUAGCAUGAUUACAUACCAUAUCACUAUCAUCAUUCUAAACAUGUCUUGAUUGAAGGUAAAGU
Molecule: long non-coding RNA, 442 nt
Filed under: Linum usitatissimum (flax)
Lineage: Eukaryota; Viridiplantae; Streptophyta; Magnoliopsida; Malpighiales; Linaceae
Description: long non-coding RNA (LUSI_LNC004251)
Source: RNAcentral